RNAcentral lists this ribosomal RNA (495 nucleotides) under uncultured bacterium. Its description in RNAcentral is "partial 16S ribosomal RNA". It matches the Rfam family "Bacterial small subunit ribosomal RNA", at positions 30 to 507 of the family's 1533-position model. The record is from RNAcentral.
UGAACGCUGGCGGCGUGCCUAAUACAUGCAAGUCGAGCGAACAGACGAGGAGCUUGCUCCUCUGACGUUAGCGGCGGACGGGUGAGUAACACGUGGAUAACCUACCUAUAAGACUGGGAUAACUUCGGGAAACCGGAGCUAAUACCGGAUAAUAUAUUGAACCGCAUGGUUCAAUAGUGAAAGACGGUUUUGCUGUCACUUAUAGAUGGAUCCGCGCCGCAUUAGCUAGUUGGUAAGGUAACGGCUUACCAAGGCAACGAUGCGUUGCCGACCUGAGAGGGUGAUCGGCCACACUGGAACUGAGACACGGUCCAGACUCCUACGGGAGGCAGCAGUAGGGAAUCUUCCGCAAUGGGCGAAAGCCUGACGGAGCAACGCCGCGUGAGUGAUGAAGGUCUUCGGAUCGUAAAACUCUGUUAUUAGGGAAGAACAAAUGUGUAAGUAACUAUGCACGUCUUGACGGUACCUAAUCAGAAAGCCACGGCUAACUACGUG